This is a non-coding RNA of Callithrix jacchus (white-tufted-ear marmoset), 1605 nucleotides long. The record is from RefSeq and is a predicted model, not a curated record. Lineage: Eukaryota; Metazoa; Chordata; Mammalia; Primates; Cebidae.
CGAUCUCCAAUCAUGAACGGGCCCCUGCACCCGCGGCCCCUGGUGUCAUGGCUGGAUGGCCGGAUGGCCGGGACUGCACGGUGGAGAUGCCUAUCCUGAAGGAUGUGGCCACCGUGGCCUUCUGCGACACGCCGUCCAUGCAGGAGAUCCACGAGAAGGUCCUGAAUGAGGCCAUGGGGGCCCUGAUGUACCACACCAUCACACUCACCAGGGAGGACCUGGAGAAGUUCAAAGCCCUGGGCAUCAUCGUCCAGAUUGGCAGUGGUUUUGACAACAUCGACGUUAAGUUGGCCCGGGAUUUAGGCAUCGCCGUCUGCAACGUGCCUGCAGCGUCUGUGGAGGAGACAGCCGACUUGACGCUGUGCCACAUUCUGAACCUGUACCGGCGGGCCACCUGGCUACACCAGGUGUUGCGGGAGGGUACGCGAGUCCAGAGCGUCGAGCAGAUCCGAGAGGUGGCAUCCGGCGCCGCCAGGAUCCGUGGGGAGACCUUGGGCAUCAUCGGACUCGGUCGUGUAGGGCAGGCAGUGGCACUGCGAGCCAAGGCCUUCGGCUUCAACGUGCUCUUCUAUGACCCCUACCUGUCAGACGGCGUGGAGCAGGCACUGGGGCUGCAGCGCGUGAGCACUCUGCAGGACCUGUUGUUCCACAGCGACUGCGUGACACUGCACUGCCGCCUCAACGAGCACAACCACCAACCACCUCAUCAAUGACUUCACCGUCAAGCAGAUGAGACAAGGGGACUUCCUGGUGAACACGCCCGGGGUGGCCUAGUGGACGAGAAGGCGCUGACCCAGGCCUUGAAGGAGGGCCGGAUCCGCGGCGCGGUCCUAAACGUGCAUUAAUCGGAACCCUUCAACUUUAGCGAGGGCCCCCUGAAGAACGCACCCAACCUCAUCUGCAACCCCCACGCUGCAUGGUACAGCGAGCAGGCAUCCCUCCAGAUGCGAGAGGAGGCAGCACGGGAGAUCCGCAGAGCCAUCACAGGCCGGAUCCCAAACAGCCUGAAGAACUGUGUCAACAAGGACCAUCUGACAGCCGCCACCCACUGGGCCAGCAUGGACCCCGGGGUCGUGCACCCCGAGCUCAAUGGGGCCACCUACAGGUACCCUCCCGGCGUGGUGGGUGUGGCCCCCACUGGCAUCCCAGCUGCUGUGGAAGGCAUCGUGCCCAGCACCAUGUCCCUGUCCCACGGUCUACCCCCUGUGGCCCACCCGCUCCACACCCCUUCUCCUGGCCAAACUGUCAAGCCCGAGGCGGAUAGAGACCACGGGAGUGACCAGUUGUAGCCCGGAAGGAGCUCUCCAGCCUCGGUGCCUGGGCAGAGGGCCAGAAGCCCCUCAGACCAGAGUGUGCAGAGAAGGUGCCUACGUGGCAGCCCUGGCGCUGCAGAGACUGUCGGGCAGUGCAGGAGGCGGGUGGGCAGCGCCGGCCCGUGUCGGUUGUCAUCGUCCGUCCUGUGGGCUCUCUGUCCUGUGUCCUUCACGUUCCUCGUUAAGCAGAAGUAGUCAGUAGUUAUUCUCCCAGGAACGUUCUUGUCUGUGUACAGUUUUUAGAACAUUACAAAGGAUCUGUUUGCUUAGCUGGCAACAAAAGGAAAACCUG